RNAcentral lists this unclassified non-coding RNA (292 nucleotides) under Streptococcus anginosus. Its description in RNAcentral is "partial 16S-23S ribosomal RNA intergenic spacer". The stretch from base 1 to 77 matches the Rfam family "Bacterial small subunit ribosomal RNA", at positions 1457 to 1533 of the family's 1533-position model. The record is from RNAcentral. Lineage: Bacteria; Bacillati; Bacillota; Bacilli; Lactobacillales; Streptococcaceae.
CUAAGGUGGGAUAGAUGAUUGGGGUGAAGUCGUAACAAGGUAGCCGUAUCGGAAGGUGCGGCUGGAUCACCUCCUUUCUAAGGAAUAGGAAACCAUUGUGUUCGUUUUGUUUAGUUUUGAGAGGUCUUGUGGGGCCUUAGCUCAGCUGGGAGAGCGCCUGCUUUGCACGCAGGAGGUCAGCGGUUCGAUCCCGCUAGGCUCCAUUAGGAUAGAAUCCUACUGAACUUCUUAAUAUCCUAAGAUUAGCACAUUGAAAAUUGAAUAACGAUAUCAAAUAGUAACAAGAAAAUAA